GCACUGACAAGUCUGGCCCGUCAAAGUGUUUUUACAGGAGUAGUACCUGCCACAGCUGCCUCAGGUAUGAGAAGACAUUUAAAGCAACAAGCAAGACCUAGGUGUAAAUCGUUGUUGCUUUCAAAAUAAAACCAGCUGGAUAAAAAUCGCCCGUGAAGAAGAACCGUACAAUCGUUCAGGUUAUGGUUAAGGUGUUAUGGCUCAGAUAACAAAGUAAUGCAACUUUAGCUGAAAAAAGGAAAUGUACAUAAUGAGUACGUAUUUGGUCAUGUUAAACGUUGUAUUUCAAUAUGGGUUUUAUUUUGAAACUUGGGAAGGGACGUCUCUCUAACUUUGGAGUUAGUUACACCUUGCUGCGUCCCACCCAUAAAACCUGUGUGCAUUUGCCAUAAAAGUGCACAGGUGGGUCUGUGAGACGUGGACAGAGGACAGCUACGGACCCAAAUGGAGAGCAAGACUCCGUCCAAAGGUCCUGUCGGAGCAGGUGCCUGUGGUCUGCAGCCCCUUCCUGAGGUAGCCGAGCCCGAAGACCUGAGCAAUGUGGAGGGCAGCAAGUGCCAACCCGGACACCCUGCAGGGGCAAGAGAUGCAAAGGAGGUGCACUCAUUGGACAGCUCUCCGUCUUCCUCGGAGAGCGAGGACGAGGGUCUCUGCAAGAAAGACAAGAAGAAGAAAAAGCUGAAAAAGAAAACAAAGAAGAAGAAGAAGAAGGAUUCCAGCUCAUCCUCUUCCUCCUCCUCCUCCUCCUCCUCCUCCUCCAGUAGCUCUUCAGAGAGUGACAGCGAGGAUGACAAGAAGAAGAAGAAGAAAAAGCAGAAGAAGGACGAAGGGCAGAAAGAGUGUGUCCGGGACGAUGUUAUCAUAUGUAGUCCUGGUGGCCAGAUGGAGCAGCCGGGUGCAGAAGGUGCAGAAGGUGUGAAGAUGAGCCAGGAUUGUAACUCCUCAGAUGGUGAAGAUGACAAGAAGAAGAAGAAGAAGAAGAAGAAGAAGAAGAAGAAGCAGGACAAGAAGAAGAAGAAAAAGAAGAAGGAUUCGUCUUCUUCCUCAUCUGACUGUUCCUGCUCCGACUGCGAGGACGAAAAGAAGAAGAAGAAGAAGAAGAAGAAGAAGAAGAGGAAGAAGAAGGACUCAAGCUCCUCUUCCUCAGACAGCUCUUCAUCAUCCUCUGACAGCGAGGAUGACAAGAAGAAAAAGGACAAGAAGAAGAAGAAGAAGAAAAAGAAAGACAAGAAAAAGGAUUCCAGCUGCUCGUCUUCAUCUUCAUCUUCUGACAGUGAUAAAGAUGAGAAGAAAAAGAAGAACAAGAAGAAGAAGAAGAAGAAGAAGAAGAAGAAUGACAAGGAAAAGAAGAACAAGAAACACGAUGAAGAGCAGAAUGAGCUCUGCGGUGGAGCUGCUCCUCCAGCUUCUGGUGAGUGUUUUUCUGCAGGUGGUGAGACUCCGGGACCAAGUGCUGAUGGAGAGAAAAAGAAAGACGAUUCUGCCGACAAGGUCAAGAAAGAGCCUAAAGAAAAAGAAAAAUGUGGAGCAAAGGCCUUCGCUGACGCUAUUGAGGAAGGCCACCUGAGUGACGACGAGGGAGAAGGAGAGAACCACAAGAAGAAGAAGAAGAAGAUGCUGAAGAAGAAGAAGGAGAAGGGUUCCGGCUCAUCAUCAGACAGUGAUGACGACGAAGAAGACAAGAAGAAGAAAAAGAAGAAGAAGGAGAAGGACUCCUCCAGCUCCUCCUCUUCGUCUGAUAGUUGCUCCUCAGAUAGUGAUGAGGACAAGAAGAAGAAGAAGAAGAAGAAGAAGAAGGAUUCUGGAUCCUGCUCGUCUUCUUCAUCCUCUGAUAGCGAAGAGGACAAGAAGAAGAAGAAGAAGAAGAAGAAGAAGAAGAAGAAGAAAAAGAAGAAGAAGAUGAAGGAUAAGGACUCCUCCUCUUCUUCAUGCUCGGAUAGUGAAGAGGACAAGAAGAAGAAGAAGAAGAAGAAGAAGAAGAAGAAGACGAAGAAGAAGAAGAAGGAUAAGGACUCCUCGUCUUCUUCAUGCUCUGAUAGUGAAGAGGACAAGAAGAAGAAGAAGACGAAGAAGAAGAAGGAUAAGGACUCGUCCUCUCCUUCAUGCUCUGAUACUGAAGAGGACAAGAAGAAGAAGAAGAAGAAGAAGAAGAAGUCCUCUUGCGCUGAGAGUGAUGACGACAAGAAGAAGAAGAAGAAGAAGAAAGAUAAGAAGAAGAAGAAGAAAAAGAAGGAUUGUUCCUCUGGAUCGUCCAGUGAUUCGAGUGAUAAUGACAAGAAGAAGAAGAAGAAGAAGAAGAAGAAGAAAAGGAAAGAUAAGAAGAAAAAGAAAGACAAGAAGAAGGACUCCGAUUCUUCUACCAGUGCUGAUGACAAAAAGAAGAAGAAAGACAAGAAGAAGAAAAAGAAGGACAAAAAGAAGGACUCAAAGUCCAGUUCAUCGUGUCCAUCUGACGGCAGUGACAAGGAGAAUAAAAAGGACAAGAAGAAGAAGAGGUCUGGUUCAUCAGGAAGUGAAACUGACAAUAAGAAAAAGAGGGAAUGCUCUGAUGGCGAGCGAGGCGGCGAAGAUCCCGGUGCCGGUCGGGCCGGACUUUCAGCUCCCGGUGGCAGCUGCUCUACGCCUGCCGCUGCUCCCGCCGUCCCCUACGUGUCCCUCCCCUCCAAACCUGUUGUGAAGAUGGAUCCUCUGCGUCCUUCAACUGUCUGCCGGCCCUCUGCCCCUGUCUCCUCUGCCCCCGCCUCUUCUGCCCCUGUCUCCUCUGCCCCCGCCUCUUCUGCCCCUGUCUCCUCUGCGCCCGCCUCUUCUGCCCCUGUCUCCUCUGCGCCCGCCUCUUCUGCCCCCGCCUCUUCUGCCCCUGUCUCCUCUGCGCCCGCCUCUUCUGCCCCUGUCUCCUCUGCGCCCGCCUCUUCUGCCCCUGUCUGCUCUGCCCCCGCCUCUUCUGUCCCUGGGUCCUAUGUCCCUGGGUCCUUUGUCGCUGGCUCCUAUGUCCCUGGGUCCUAUGUCCCCGGCUCCUCGAGUGUUGGAGAUAAGGCCCCCAAUCGUAGGCCUCCCAGCCCCAUGGAGGCCCUGAUGGGGAGCCCGAGGCGGUACGGCUCCUCCCAUCUCAGCUCAAGCGACCUAUUGAAAGGCCCCAAGCCUUAUCAAUGAUGAGAUCAAAACACGCGUUACUCGUGUUUCCUUUUAAAGCAACUGGAGGAUGUCGACCAUGAGAGGAGAUAUGAUUCCUUGAUUUCAUGCUGGAUAAAUGUGAUGACUGGUGGAAAAACGUAUUGUGACACGAUGAAAAUGUCCAAGAUGAGAAGUAUAAUCCAAACAUGGAAAGUCACGAUUGUGUUUUUAAUCAAUAAAGCGCACAUGUGUAAUAAUA
Molecule: long non-coding RNA, 3370 nt
Organism: Gasterosteus aculeatus aculeatus (three-spined stickleback)
Lineage: Eukaryota; Metazoa; Chordata; Actinopteri; Perciformes; Gasterosteidae
Source: Ensembl